GUCUGCGGCCAUGCCACCCUGGACAAGCCCGAUCCCGUCCGGUCUCAGAAGCUAAGCAGGGUCGGGCCUGGUUAGUACUUGGAUGGGGGACCAGCUAGGAAGACCAGGUGCCGGAGUCA
RNAcentral lists this ribosomal RNA (119 nucleotides) under Pteropus alecto (black flying fox). The record is from RNAcentral. Lineage: Eukaryota; Metazoa; Chordata; Mammalia; Chiroptera; Pteropodidae.